UCCAGCCUGGCCACAGAGCCAGGACCUGUCUCAAAAAAAAAAAAAAAAGAAACCCCAUCUCUACUAAAUACAAAAAAUUAGCCAGGCCUGAUGGUGCACACCUGUAAUCCCAGCUACUCAAGAGGCUGAGGCAGGGAAUCACUUGAAUUCGGGAGGCGGAGGUUGCAGUGAGCCAAGAUUGCAUCAUUGUACUCUAGCCUGGCAACAGAGCGAGACUCCAGCUCAAAAAAAAAAGGUAGAAGGAAGUGUGCGCAGAUGUUACCAAGAAGACCCAUAAUACAAAAACUAGUAUUGUGAGGAUCUACCCAGCCAGGUUUAGGGAAGAUGGCCCUACCCUUACCUGUGUAAUAUUUCUUUUUUGAGACUGCCCAGCUUGAAAUGCCUGUAGUUGGAGUGCAGUGGUCGGAUCUCUUCACCACUGCAGCUCCACCUCCCGUUUACGCUUAUUUUUCUGCCUCAGCCUCCCGAGUAGCUGGGGACUGACAGGCUUCACCACUUCUCGCCUCGCUAGUUUUUUUUGUAUUUUUUAGUAGAGACGGGCUUCACUGUGCUAGCCAUAGCCCCAUCUCCCGACCUCGCGGAUCCACUGUCUGGCCUUCCCAAAGUGCUGGGAUUACAGGCUUGCUCACCGUCACCGCCACCUGUGUAAUAUUUCAAAAAUAAUAAAGGAAGCUAGGCAUGGCGGCUCUCUCCUGUAAUCUCAGCACUUUGGGAGGCCAAGGCAGAAGGACUUCUUGAGCUCAGGAGUUUGAGGCCAGCAUAGGCAACAUAGUAAGACCCCAUUUCUACAAAAAAUUUAAAAAUUAUUCGAGUGUGGUGGCACAUACCUGUAGUCCUAGCUACCCUGGAGACUGAGUUGGGAGGAGCGCUUGAACCCACGAGAUGGAGGCUGCAGUGAGCUAUGAUUGUGCCACUGCAAUCCAGCCUGGGCAACAGAGUGAGACUCUGUCUCUACCAGCUAGCUUUUUAAUUUUUGUUGCGAUGGGGGUCUUAAUCAUAUUACCCAGGCUGAUCUCAAACUUCUAGGCUCAAGUGAUCCUCCCGCUUUGACCUCCCAAAGUGCUGGGAUUGCAGGUGUGAGUCAUUGAGCCUGGUCUAUUUCUUCUUCUUUUUUUUUUUUUUUUUUUUUUUGAGACGGGGUUUCACUCUGUCGCCUAGAGUGGAAUAGAGUGGUUCAGUCACAGCUCACUGAAGCCUUGAACUCCUGGGCUCAUGCAAUCCUCCCACCUCAGCCAGCUGGAUCUCUGGGACUACAGAUGUGCACCACCACAGUAGGCUAAUUUUUUACUUUUUUGUAGAGAAAGGUCUUGCUAUGUUGCCCAGGUGGGCCUCAAACUCCUGGGUUCAAGUGAUCCUCCUACCUUCGCCUCCCAAAGCGCUAUGAGUACAGGUGUGAGCCACUGUGCCUGGCCCAGGGAUUCAUUUCUCAUAGUUCUGGAGGUGGGGAGUCCCAGACUGAGGUGUUGGCAGAUUCGGUGUCUGGAGAGAGCCCUCUUUCUGGUUCCUAGAUAGAGCCUACUCACUGUGUCCUCACAUAGGGGAAGGGGCCAGCAAGCUCUCCGGGCUCUCUUUUAAAAGGGCACUCACACCAUUCAUGAGGGCCCCACUCUCAUGACCUAAUCACCUCCCAAAGGCCCCACCUCCUAAUAUCCUAAUACUAUCACCUUUGGGGUUAGGAUUUCAAUACACGAGUUUUGGGGAGACACAAACAUUCAGACCAUAACAGGAAGCAUAAGGAAUAUGUGAAAUAAUUAAUAAACGAUGCCAG
This 1768-nucleotide long non-coding RNA is filed under the name Papio anubis (olive baboon). Its description in RNAcentral is "lncRNA (ENSPANG00000039009.1)". The record is from RNAcentral. Lineage: Eukaryota; Metazoa; Chordata; Mammalia; Primates; Cercopithecidae.